ACAUCACAGCAAGCAGCGGGCUGACACACCUAUCCCAGAAAAAUAGAAGGAAAGACCAUGUGGGGAGGCUGGCUCCAAGUGACAUUUGGGCAGGACAAGAAGAUGUCACCACACUGAAAGGGUGACAAUGCGCAGCCUUUUACAUGCUUGGGCACUGUCAAGACAGAAGAGAAGCACGGGACAGCUGAGCAGCAAGGGAGUGAAGGCACAAGACACAUUCCCAGGCCAACACUUCUUCCGUCUUCCCUCUUGUCGGCUGGACCCUCACUAGAAGCUGCAGGUUCCCGUGGAUUUGAGAUCCAGGCUUAUCACUGUGCUACCACAGAGUGGGAGCCACUGCCAUUGCAAAACUCUAUUGCCAUAUUCAUGUGAUGAGAAUUUGCCUGUAAAAGCUUGCUGACUUACCUAUUUCUGAAUAAAUUCUCUUUUUGUACUUGAA
Non-coding RNA from Myodes glareolus (Bank vole), 439 nucleotides. The record is from RefSeq and is a predicted model, not a curated record. Lineage: Eukaryota; Metazoa; Chordata; Mammalia; Rodentia; Cricetidae.